GAGCGAGUGUGUUGGUGUGUGUGCAUGGCAGGAUUGGAUGUGUUAAGUAUGUGACUAGAAUGUGUUCACACUAUACAUCGGCAUCGCUUGGUGAAACAUCGGAAGCCAUUCACUUUCAAUGGAAGGAAAGUAAGAGAAGAGAAGUGGAGUGGGUGGGGAACCGUUGAGCGAUGCGAGGAUGGGCGAGGGAGCUGAACAAGGCCCACCGCUCCUCUCUGUGUCGUUGAUGGCCAUCCGGCGUACACGGUGAGACACCUGAGUUCGACCACGGGGCAGGGGUCUCCAGUACCUGGUUGACUGGGAGGGUUAUGGCCCGGCGGAGAGGUGCUGGAUCCCCGCUAGAGACAUCCUAGACGACUUCCACCGCCUGCACACUGGUCUAUCAGGUGUGUGCCCAGGUAGGACGCCAGGUGGCACCCCUAGAGGGGGCUACUGUCACACCCUGAUCUGUUUCACCUGUCUUUGUGAUUGUCUCCAUCCCCCUCCAGGUGUCGCCCAUCGUUCUGUCUUUUGCCAGUUGGUCUUGUUUGCCCUGUCAGCUCCUGUCUUUUCCCAGCCUCUCUUUUUCUCACCCUCCUGGUUUUUGACCCUUGCCUCUCCUGACCCUGACCCCGCCCACCUGACCACUCUGCCUGCCCCUGAGCCUGCCUACCGUCCUGUACCUUUGCCCCUAUCUGGAUUUCCGACCUCUGUCUCAUCUAAGCCUGCCUGAAGUCCUGUACCUUUGCCUCUGUUGCUGUAAUAAACAUUGUUACUUCGACAAGGUCUGCAUCUGGGUCUUACCUUAUCCUAAUAAAGGCGAGAUUGAACGUUCCUGAGUGGCCUAGUUAGUUUUGACGUAAAUCAGAUUGAAAAUCUAUUGCAAGACUUGAAAAUGGC
Oncorhynchus tshawytscha (Chinook salmon) is the source of this 879-nucleotide long non-coding RNA. The record is from Ensembl. NCBI's taxonomy places the organism in Eukaryota, Metazoa, Chordata, Actinopteri, Salmoniformes, Salmonidae.